CCCCUCUCUCUCUCUCACUCUCUUAGUAGCAUAAGACUCACGUACGUGUAUUUCCUAUGCGCACUAACCUUUUCGUAUAUACACUGUACACCUAGUUAUCUUACAGUCCAACGAUAACCUAAAAAUUUCUGGCUUGUAUCAUGACACAAUGUGAAGAUCAUUAUUUUGUUAGAUAAAAAAAAUUAGCAAUUAAAUAUAUAGUGAACAAAUUGUCAUUUUUAUUUAUUUUAAUCAAAUAAUGUUCUUAUAUACUUUUAUAUUCAUGUAUAAAAAUGUUGAUCUGAAUUGGGUUUGUUAAAAAGUAUAACUAGACGACAUAUAGGCACCAGGAUGCUUCCCAGGUCAUCAAAACAUCGUAAAGAAAGGAGUGCACCAGGCAUAUAUUGCACAUAUCAUCAAGGAUACAUUUUAAGUAGUUCAAAAAUAACAAAUCGGAUGUAAUUAUUAUGCACACAUGCGUAUUGCUUAAUAAAUAAUUAAAGUAUGAAUAAUA
Molecule: long non-coding RNA, 493 nt
Organism: Nasonia vitripennis (jewel wasp)
Lineage: Eukaryota; Metazoa; Arthropoda; Insecta; Hymenoptera; Pteromalidae
Exons: 2
Source: RefSeq, a predicted model, not a curated record